AGCAAGAAUAGAGGCUUGAUGAAUGCAUAAACCAAGGUGAGGCUGUAAAAGGCAAUUUUCCCAUUGACAGAAUACUUCAGCAGCACUUCGCAGAUAGCCUGUUGGACAAAGUACAUUGUAAACGGGGUGAGAGCUGACUGUGCAGAACUGCAGAAAGACAUUGCUUUGGUUAAGGGACAAUAAAUCAAGAAGAUCAGAAACGUCAUUAAAAGUGAUACAUCCUGGAAAUCGACAGUCCUGAUUUUGUGCCUGAAACUGGCACGCUGAGCUGGCCAGUAGCACUCAGGAGUGGGGACGUGGGGUUACGCUGAAGGCUGGUGUGGACCCC
Molecule: long non-coding RNA, 328 nt
Filed under: Gallus gallus (chicken)
Lineage: Eukaryota; Metazoa; Chordata; Aves; Galliformes; Phasianidae
Description: lncRNA (ENSGALG00010003600.1)
Source: RNAcentral